CUAGGUGGUAAUGCCUUCUUUUCAACUAUGGACUUAACCUCAGGAUACUACAAUGUGGAAGUGCAUGAGGAGGACAGAAAAUAUACAGCUUUUUCAUCACCGUUCGGAUUGUACGAGUACAAUAGGAUGCCGCAGGGCCUUUGUAAUAGUCCGGCAACGUUCAUGAGGAUGAUGUUAAGCAUCUUUGGCGACCAGAACUUUAUGAGUCUAUUAUGCUAUCUGGAUGAUGUUUUAGUGUUCGCCUCUAAUGAAAAGCUGGCCCUUGAACGUUUGCAAAUGGUGUUUGAUAGACUCAAGUCCCACAACCUCAAACUCGCACCAAAGAAAUGCAACUUCCUGCGACGUUCGGUUAAGUUCCUCGGUCAUAUUGUUAGUGCCGAUGGAAUCCAGUCUGACCAUGAUAAAGUUGCUGCCAUAACUUCCUUAAAAGAGUCAGACCUUAUGGAGGAAGGCACCUCAGUCCCCUCGCAGCGUAAAGUCCGCUCCUUUCUUGGUAUGGUUGUAUACUACCAGCAGUUUAUUGAGAACUGUUCCGCCAUAGCCAAGCCGCUGUUCCGUCUCACGUCAGGGUCCAAAGGUCCACGGGGAGCUGGUAGAAAACGGCACCAGACUCGUAAAAAGCUAAGAACAGAGGACUGGACUGAUGAAUGUAAGCUGGCUUUUACAAAACUGAAACAGGCCUUGUUAGACCAAGUUAUUCUGGCCCAUCCAAACUUUAACGACCACUUUUUGCUCUCAGUUGACGCCUCUACAGAUGGGUUAGGUGCUGUCUUGUCGCAAGUUCCUCCUGGUGGCACAACAGCAAGGCCAAUCGCGUUCGCAAGUAAAUCCCUCACUUAUGCUCAGUCAAAGUAUCCUGCGCACAGAUUAGAGUUUUUCGCAUUAAAGUGGGCGGUGUGCGAUAAAUUCCACCACUGGUUGAGAGGUCAUCGGUUUACCGUGUGGACGGACAAUAAUCCGUUGACAUACAUUUUGUCCAAAGCUCGUCUAGAUGCAUGUGAGCAGCGGUGGAUUGCUAAACUUGCGCCUUUUCAGUUCGAUAUCAAAUACAUCCCAGGUCCCCGAAAUGUAGUCGCCGACGCCUUAAGCAGAGAGCCGUUCGUGCAGUCCAGUGCAUCCCACCGUUUAACAAG
This 1133-nucleotide long non-coding RNA is filed under the name Neogobius melanostomus (round goby). RNAcentral describes it as "lncRNA (ENSNMLG00000007419.1)". The record is from RNAcentral. Lineage: Eukaryota; Metazoa; Chordata; Actinopteri; Gobiiformes; Gobiidae.